UGGGGAAUAUUGCACAAUGGGCGCAAGCCUGAUGCAGCCAUGCCGCGUGUAUGAAGAAGGCCUUCGGGUUGUAAAGUACUUUCAGCGGGGAGGAAGGGAGUAAAGUUAAUACCUUUGCUCAUUGACGUUACCCGCAGAAGAAGCACCGGCUAACUCCGUGCCAGCAGCCGCGGUAAUACGGAGGGUGCAAGCGUUAAUCGGAAUUACUGGGCGUAAAGCGCACGCAGGCGGUUUGUUAAGUCAGAUGUGAAAUCCCCGGGCUCAACCUGGGAACUGCAUCUGAUACUGGCAAGCUUGAGUCUCGUAGAGCGGGGUAGAAUUCCAGGUGUAGCGGUGAAAUGCGUAGAGAUCUGGAGGAAUACCGGUGGCGAAGGCGGCCCCCUGGACGAAGACUGACGCUCAGGUGCGAAAGCGUGUGGAGCAAACAGG
RNAcentral lists this ribosomal RNA (429 nucleotides) under Chloroflexota bacterium. RNAcentral describes it as "Chloroflexi bacterium partial 16S ribosomal RNA". It matches the Rfam family "Bacterial small subunit ribosomal RNA", at positions 355 to 776 of the family's 1533-position model. Lineage: Bacteria; Bacillati; Chloroflexota. The record is from RNAcentral.